ACAGCAGUCAUUUCUUUAAAUGUCUAUCGUAGUUUUAAAACCAGAAAUUGCAAAUCAAGACGAGAAGAUUUCUUGAAAUUGUUUAGAUCAUUAUAAAUGCUGAACAUGUGCACAGUUAUACUUAUAGAAUACAAUAUGGAUAUUGUUUUGAAUAGCAGAAAAUAUCAAUUUCAAUCAAUAAAAAUUUAAUAAAAUAAUGAGAAUGCUUUUGUCAUUUUAUAAAAUGUAUGAGCUACGAAUCGUUUGAAAAACUUGAUAUCAACUUACAUCACUUGGCGACCCUCUCAAAAUGAAGCGCAUCAACAGAUGUUCUGUAUGGUUAACAAUAAAACAAAAAUAAGCUGGCAAUUUGUUAAAGUUGAAGGUUUGGCGUUGUGGGCUUGUCAACGGAUCGUGCUCUUGAUCUUUCUGCUUGAUUAAACUUGAAAUUUGUUGUAUUGCAA
Molecule: long non-coding RNA, 443 nt
Organism: Drosophila albomicans
Lineage: Eukaryota; Metazoa; Arthropoda; Insecta; Diptera; Drosophilidae
Exons: 2
Source: RefSeq, a predicted model, not a curated record